This 468-nucleotide ribosomal RNA is filed under the name uncultured bacterium. RNAcentral describes it as "partial 16S ribosomal RNA". It matches the Rfam family "Bacterial small subunit ribosomal RNA", at positions 28 to 507 of the family's 1533-position model. The record is from RNAcentral.
GACGAACGCUGGCGGCGUGCUUAACACAUGCAAGUCGAACGGAAAGGCCCUGCUUUUGUGGGGUGCUCGAGUGGCGAACGGGUGAGUAACACGUGAGUAACCUGCCCUUGACCUUGGGAUAACUUCAGGAAACUGGGGCUAAUACCGGAUAGGAGCUCCUGCUGCAUGGUGGGGGUUGGAAAGUUUCGGCGGUUGGGGAUGGACUCGCGGCUUAUCAGCUUGUUGGUGGGGUAGUGGCUUACCAAGGCUUUGACGGGUAGCCGGCCUGAGAGGGUGACCGGCCACAUUGGGACUGAGAUACGGCCCAGACUCCUAUGGGAGGCAGCAGUGGGGAAUAUUGCCCAAUGGGCGGAAGCCUGAUGCAGCAACGCCGCGUGCGGGAUGACGGCCUUCGGGUUGUAAACCGCUUUCGCCUGUGACGAAGCGUGAGUGACGGUAAUGGGUAAAGAAGCACCGGCUAACUACGUG